UACGGAGGGUGCAAGCGUUAUCCGGAUUCAGUGGGUUUAAAGGGUGCGUAGGCGGGCAGAUAAGUCAGUGGUGAAAUCGCCGAGCUUAACUCGGAAACUGCCGUUGAUACUAUUUGUCUUGAAUACUGUGGAGGUAAGCGGAAUAUGUCAUGUAGCGGUGAAAUGCUUAGAUAUGACAUAGAACACCAAUUGCGAAGGCAGCUUACUACACAGCGAUUGACGCUGAGGCACGAAAGCGUUGGGAUCAAACAGA
Molecule: ribosomal RNA, 253 nt
Filed under: uncultured bacterium
Lineage: Bacteria
Description: partial 16S ribosomal RNA
Rfam family: Bacterial small subunit ribosomal RNA
Source: RNAcentral